AUGAAACAUCAUUUCAGCAAUUAUUUAAAUUAAAAAGUCAAUCAAAAUCCUCUUCUUUGUCUCGGGCCAAAUCCGGCCCAUUCCCUUCCUUCCUCUCUCUUCCGCCGGCCCAACCCGAGCCUGCAUCCUCUCUUCCUCUCUCUGCCGAAGUUCUAUUUGCUUCCCUCCUUCAAUCGGGCCGAGGAAAUGAAGCCCGGCAAGAAGUCUGUUUUGCCUCCCUCUGCUACAGUGUCGCCCCUAACCUCCAGCCGGCUGAUCUCCUCCCUGCCGUGCCCGUGUACAGCGCCGCCUCCCCACCAAAUUCGUCCUCUCCGUUGCUCCUCUUUCCAAAUUAAUUGUGGGAAUGGAAUCCUCUCAAUCUCCUCUUCCUUUCCCCCAAGAAAUACCGAAAAGUUUAUAUGGAAAUUCUUUCCAAUUUCGCGGAUCGAACCCUACCUAAUCUGUCGCCGAUUCCAUCCGUUCCCGAGCCGAUCUCUCCCUCUUCCGGCUAUAAAUAGCAGCCCCUCGGCCUCCUCUUCCGUUUCCCCUCUUUUUCCUGAGCCGCCGUGCCCUAGCCGCCUCUCCCCACGCUAGCUUCUCUCUCCUAAGCCGGCCACCGCUCCAGCCACGUCGCGCCGCCUCCUCGGUCGACCCCGACCUGCGCCGUCGCCUCCCUCGGCUUCGCAAGGGUGAGAGCUACCCCGGCCACCCGUUCCCUUGCGCCGAAUCUCGCCGGAAUCCGCUCGCCGACGCGAACCCGACGCUUUCGGUCUUUGCCACGCCUCCAGCAACCAUCCAUCGUCGACUCCGUGGUCGCCGGACCUCGCCGUAUCCACUGUUGGCAUCGCAGCAGUGAGGAGAAGCCCGGCAGCCACCUCCGCGAAGACGCAAGCCAUCGGAGCACCGUCGUCACCGUGAAGCCGAUUUGUUCCAUCUUCAGCCGCGCCGUUCGUCGCCGUCCAUCGCCGCCUUCGUUCACCGUCGCCACCCUCGGGAUCGCAGGAGCGAGGUGAAGACCGUCCGCCCCUCGGUUGCUGCCUCUCGUCGCCGGAAAGCCGUCGCCAUCGUCAACCCAAGGUCGCUGCCUUUGGAGCUCGUCGCCUGCCAUCUCCCUCGCCGUCUGUCGUCACGUAUGUGGUGGCUUGGGGAAAGAACUUCAGGGUGUGACACUAUAUCAAGUGAUGAGGACAUCAAUACCGCCGAUACAUCCACGCUAACACAAGUCCAAGUUCAUGGUCCUAUUAUCCGUGCUCGCGCACGUCAACUCAACUAUCAGGAAUGAUGGAGAGGAUCAAAAGCAGAGUGGAUUCGCGUGGGCUGGAUUCGGACUGCAGAACAGCACCAACUUGUGACGAUCACCGUGACUUCAUGCGGACUCCAUUUUGAGCGUGCAAGUAUUUCAUAGAAAGCUUAUCAAGUCUACUUUUAAAUGGAUCUGGCCUCAUGUCCAUAUCUGUUCUGCAGAGGCUGCAAUUGUCAUUUUACUACAGAUACCUUUUUCUGUCCAUGGUGCCGCGUCACCUUAUUUGGGUCCAAUGUGCUGUUUAUCAAGUUGAGUCCGUUAAGGGCGCGUCUUAGGGUUAGAGGACGACCUCAACUUGUCCUCCCCCCUAUAUACCCUUAGCUAUCACACAUAAAUUCCGGUUUUGUUUAGAUCAAAGUUUUGCUUUGCUACUUUGCCAUGUAAUCCCGUGAUCGUGUAGAUCACCGGUUUGCUCGUUACGGAAACCCACCUGUGAUAUUUUUGUUGAUUCAAUCUUACAUCUUUAAUUUGCCAAUUG
Molecule: non-coding RNA, 1760 nt
Organism: Oryza sativa Japonica Group (Japanese rice)
Lineage: Eukaryota; Viridiplantae; Streptophyta; Magnoliopsida; Poales; Poaceae
Source: RefSeq, a predicted model, not a curated record